RNAcentral lists this ribosomal RNA (249 nucleotides) under uncultured Actinomycetales bacterium. RNAcentral describes it as "partial 16S ribosomal RNA". It matches the Rfam family "Bacterial small subunit ribosomal RNA", at positions 84 to 334 of the family's 1533-position model. The record is from RNAcentral. Lineage: Bacteria; Bacillati; Actinomycetota; Actinomycetes; Actinomycetales.
GGGGUGCUCGAGUGGCGAACGGGUGAGUAACACGUGAGUAACCUGCCCUUGACUUUGGGAUAACUUCAGGAAACUGGGGCUAAUACCGGAUAGGAGCUCCUGCUGCAUGGUGGGGGUUGGAAAGUUUCGGCGGUUGGGGAUGGACUCGCGGCUUAUCCGCUUGUUGGUGGGGUAGUGGCUUACCAAGGCUUUGACGGGUAGCCGGCCUGAGAGGGUGACCGGCCACAUUGGGACUGAGAUACGGCCCAG